Molecule: long non-coding RNA, 2253 nt
Filed under: Citrus maxima (pomelo)
Lineage: Eukaryota; Viridiplantae; Streptophyta; Magnoliopsida; Sapindales; Rutaceae
Description: long non-coding RNA (CMAX_LNC003980)
Source: RNAcentral
GGCUAUAUAUAAAAAUAAAUAUUCAUUAAGCAAUUGCAAUAAUCAUGUAUAGAUCUAGUACAUUACAAACAAUACUAAAAAAUAUUGUGUUUACAGUUCCCAAAUUAAAGUAACUAGAUAUCCAUAACCCUGUUUUCUUAAAAGAAAAAUAUUACAUUCCUCACAAGAUCUACAAAAUGCAGCCAUCUUGUUGGUUACUUCAAUAAUCAUGCCAAAGCCAGGGAGAGUUGGAGAGUGGAACCUUUUCACGAACCUUCCUUGACUACAAUAUCAAAAUAAUUGAAACAAUUUCAUAAAUCAUUUUAGUGUCUUAUUCAAAACAAGGACAAUAACAAAGAUAAAGAUAAAAAUAUUCCACCAUAUGUGUUACAAAAUUUCACAAACACUUGAAUAAUUUCAUAAAUCCUUUUACUAACCUUGCAAAAUCGUUGUGUAACAAAAUUUAGCAAAAAAUAUUCUGCCAUAUGUACUCUGCCUAUUCCAUUCUUGCUUCAUCAAUAUCCUCUUGGGUGUAACUACCUCGUCCAACAAACUAUAUCAUAUACAAAACAGUCAAUAUUAAUAUAUGCAUCAACAUUAUCAAAUCUAUAAAUUUUAAAAGGAUAAGUAAAUGACUACCGAGUUUUUCUCCAUGCAAAAUCCAAUUAUUAUAACUUUCAUCUAUAUUAUUCAUCAACAGUUUGAUGCUUCAUGUUUCCAUAUUUCAUAUAUGAACAUAGUAUGUGAUUAGAAUUCUUUGCAUGAAUCAUUGCAAAAUUUAGAAAUCUUCCAACACCAAUCUCAUUAUCUUUUGAUCUUCGAUCCAUGACAUCCAACAUAUGUCAAUUCUGAAUGCAAAAUAUUAAUAUAUCAUACUAAAAUACUUUACAUAAUCUCUUCAUGAUUGUCGAUGUCCUAAUUUGAGAAAAGUAAAACGUAGGACCUUGAUAUUAUUAUCCUAGCUGAAUCACAUCAAUAAACAUUGAUUUACUAAAGCACAUAACACAAUAGAUUGAACAAAGCUUGUCAGACACAGAGUGUCAGAGACUAAAGCACAAAAAAUCAAUAGCUACGGCUGAGCAUAUAAAAUAUUUUGGUAUUUGUAUCUUCCUUAAAAUAUGCACAUAUAAACAUUACAAACUCCUUAUUUUCAAUAUUUGUUAGUCAAACAUGAAUAAAUUAAAUAAACCAAAAAAGAAAAAACAGCACAUGUAGACCACCCACAAACAAAUAAUCUAUCACUUUUUUUCACAAGCAUUUUUUUUUUUUUUUUGUGAAACACAAACAUAGAUUUUAUUAACCAUCAUAAUAAGAGUACAAGAAGUAUAGUAAGAGAUCACUUUACCGAUUUAGUUCUCAAUUUAUAGAAACAUCAUUACAAUACAUAAUUGAUGCAGCCUUUACUUGCACACUGAAGAACAAGAUGAAUUAAGUUUACAUAUCUAUACAAGGACAUCUCUAUAAUAAUGUGCACAAUAACUUAGAGCUAUAUGAGAUAUGCCUUCUCAACUCCUUUUAAUUUCUCUCUAUCACUAGAUUUAACUCUUCCAACCGGUACAACAAUGGAUCCUUUGCAAAGAUCAAAAUUUUGAGGCUUGAGAUUUUCCAGAGUUGAACUAUGAAAGCUUCAAAUCUUGAAUCAAUCCACCACAUAACAACUGAAAUAAACAAAAGCCAUCACAAAUCGACUAGAUAAACAACCAUAAAGUGAGAUUUGGGUGGAGAGAAACAGUCCUAGAUUUUAGAUCUAGAUGGAUUUAAAACCGCUCAUUAAGAGGGAAGAAAAAAAAACUAUAAAAAUAAAAGUGAAAAAAAAAAUCGCCCAGCAUAGAGAACGAAGCAAAUGUUCACAAGCAUGAUUAAACAACAGAAAAAGAAAAUACCUUUUAUGUGGAGACGAAAACUUUUAAAAUCCAAGAUGGAAGGUGGACGAAUGCAUCAAUAUUUUACUUGUUAGUGUUGUGGUCCCAAGUUUUACAAUUUUCUCCUUAAAAUGCGUGGUCCAGAGCUUUAAGAUUUCUUCUUUCUCCUCGCUUCAACCAUUUGUGAAUAGUUAGGGUUUAAUAUUUUGGGGCUGUAUAAAUAAUGGGUGAGAUUAGGGGUUUACAACUUGGAAAUUGAAGAUAAGAAGAUGUUUUAUGUGGGGGAAAGGGAAUUUUACGGACAAAUAUCGUGAAAUUUCAGAAUAAUUGAGGGAGACAGAGAGAGUUGGUAUUUCGUUGGAGACGGGAAAAUAAAAAGGGAAGGUUGAGUUUUUAUACUUUAAAAUAAAUG